This is a long non-coding RNA of Cygnus atratus (black swan), 843 nucleotides long. RefSeq lists it as uncharacterized. NCBI's taxonomy places the organism in Eukaryota, Metazoa, Chordata, Aves, Anseriformes, Anatidae. The record is from RefSeq and is a predicted model, not a curated record. The transcript has 3 exons.
CAGAGCAGCCAUUUCAUACCGACCUCUGCUAGGAGAAGUGAACUGGUGAGAGUUCAUCUGCAUAUGGUCUGAAGAAAAACCUCAGGAGAAACAAUGGAUAAAAGAAAUAAGUGUUGUGAAACUGAAAUAGGAUGACGCCAGUCAGGCCACAUGACCUUGGAUGCUUCCUUGUGUCCUUUCCUGCUUGUUUGUGAAUGCCUUUUUCCUCCAGUUCAGGCACUCUUCUGUUUCGGCAAACACAAAUAACAGCCUUCUACUUUGGUCUAAGGGAACAACAAAGAAAGCAGAAAGAACAAAUGUAACUUUCUGUGAGCAACCAGUCUGAUCUUUAACAGGCUCUGAUCUUUAACAGCAACUCGGAACAAAAUGGCUAAUGCCUCUGUGAACAGGCUGAGUGCUUCCAGCUUUCCAGGAAGGAAAAGGCACGAUUUACUGCAGCAUUAAAACAUCAGUGCUUCUCGUUCUCUUCACCAUCACUUCAAAGUCACCAGUCAAUGAUUUCAACUUCCCAAGAAGUUCAUUGUGACUUGCUCUGUGAGCAUUGAAGUAGCCAGCAUAACUGUGGGUCAAACUGUUUUGAUUUGUAUUUCCAGUUACACUACAACUGAAUGUACAGAAGAGGUAAUUGAAUUGACCAUGCACAGGAAAUGGAGAAGCUUGUAUGCUGCUCUGAUUAAAGGGGAAGAAAAUGAAGAAAGGUAUUAUAACAGUCUCAUUUCUUCUUUCUCUCUCAGAAGUGAUGGAUUUGGAAAAUUUUAGGGGGGAUAAUUUUAAUUUCACCACUGUCCCAUGUGCACAAAGGGUAUUGGUCAGCCAACACAUCUCACCUUUAAAAGUUGACAC